Molecule: long non-coding RNA, 1828 nt
Organism: Oncorhynchus gorbuscha (pink salmon)
Lineage: Eukaryota; Metazoa; Chordata; Actinopteri; Salmoniformes; Salmonidae
Exons: 5
Source: RefSeq, a predicted model, not a curated record
UUGACGUGUGUAGGUUGCUCACCUUGGACACCCCUUGUAUACCCCCAAUAGUUUCCAACAUAUUGUCCACAUUGGAGAUCAUCCCUGGAUAUUCCACACAAACGAGUCUAUUGUCCUCUGAUAAGGAAAGAGUCGCCGAGCUCCCAGGCACCCCACCCACAGUGCCAGUGACAGCACUUGGGUCUGCAGCUGCCAUUUUCCGGUGGUUAAGAGAAAUGGCCUUGUACUUACCAGAAACAGUGCAGUAGCUCAUCCACCAUGGCAGAAGAGGAAGAUCCAGAACGUUGAUUGGGAAACAAGAACAAACAAUGAGGCAUGAGGAUUGGGUGUUGAGGGACCACUUGUCACAUUGUCCAAGUCCAACAGGAGUGCAUCCCUCAGGCUAUCCGUUGCAUGAACCUCCUUUGCCAGUGGGAUCCGAGGGUGAUCGUCCAGUUGCGGAGACUAGAGCACAUCGAGCCUGUGGAUGGACAGGUACAUGCAGGGAUGCCUAGGGCCUUCAGCAAGUAAGACACGGGGUUCAAGGAGACCUGCCAUUCCACUGAACCUGCCACAGAGAAGGUGCUUUAGCCACUGAAGAUCCUCCUCUGUUGGCUCUCAGGACAGAGGGUUGAAGUCUUCGGCUGGGUACAGGUCCUCCACUGACUGCACCUGGUUGGGCACGGCUGGCUUCCUCCACUCACAUUCCACAUCCGUAUGGACGAAAUUGUGAACUGCCAAAAUAGGCUGCAUGGCUACACUUAUGAGCUCCACGGAGGCAUUUCCAUGUGGUAUAGAGAAUCCCCUGGUUACCUAAAGAGACCUGGCAAGAGGAAGGAUGUUAAGUGACAUCUUUCAAUUCAUGACUUUGAACACCUUGAAAUGCAUUUGUUGAAAGAAAUGUGCUAUAUUGAUGACUGACAUUACUGCUAUAGAGGACACGUGCAGUUUUUCAAUAAACUUAAUUGAUAACUUGGGAUUUUAUCACUUGACAUACCAAUCAUAUAGUGGGAAGGAUCCUAUAAAUCAAACCUGUGUGAAUGGAUUUACCAGUCCAAAUAAAUAAAUACUGUGCUUUUGAAGAUUUCUCUCUGGUCAUGAAACUACAAUACAGACUAGAUGUCUAAACAAAGUCAAUUCUGAAUGUCAUUAGAUUUUUAGAUUCAUUCUCAUCAAUGACAACAUUCUAGAACUGUUAUCACUCAAGUCUGGUAUCCGGGGUAAUCUGGUUAAUGAUUAUAUAAUUGAACUCUUGUAGAAUGUUGACAGCUGUAUAGAACGUUUGUAUUGCUAAGAUGCUCAAACUUAACUUAAUAGCUACACUUACCGACACAGAAUAAAUGUUAUCCCUCACGAUGGCCCUGCUCAAACUGGUAAGUUGCCACUAAACUAUAGCUGUACUUAUCCAGAAUCCAAGACUUAUAGUGGUCUUCUCCCCUUUUAAAGCUCUUAUGCUCAUCCUUUUAAAAAAAUUACGGAAGGUCUGAAAUAGACACCAAAGUCGACAUACUUUACAAACAAUUACCUAGGCUAAGUAAUCCCAAAUAAAUUUUUGAUCUGCUGCUCUGCUAACUAGCUAGCUAUAGUGUAGUUAGUGACUAUCUAAGACAGAGAAAGGAGAUGGAAGAUGUUCAACACUUUAUUCACUUCAUUUCAAUGCAGCACAUGGAUUCAUUAUGUAUUUGGCACAGCUCUCUGAUCGCACUGGUGACCGGUAGCUGACAGUGCUGGCUGGAGAUGACAUGCAGGAGCAUCCUGCAGGAAUGUGUGGUCUUGCAGAGGUCUUCUCUGUUGCUAAUUAGCAUUUAACAUAUUUUUCUUUGUAAAUUGGGGCUAAUAUAUUAAUAAA